GAUGAACGCUGGCGGCGUGCCUAAUACAUGCCAGUCGAGCGAACAGAUGAGGAGCUUGCUCCUCUGACGUUAGCGGCGGACGGGUGAGUAACACGUGGAUAACCUACCUAUAAGACUGGGAUAACUUCGGGAAACCGGAGCUAAUACCGGAUAAUAUAUUGAACCGCAUGGUUCAAUAGUGAAAGACGGUUUUGCUGUCACUUAUAGAUGGAUCCGCGCCGCAUUAGCUAGUUGGUAAGGUAACAGCUUACCAAGGCAACGAUGCGUAGCCGACCUGAGAGGGUGUUCGGCCACACUGGAACUGAGACACGGUCCAGACUCCUACGGGAGGCAGCAGUAGGGAAUCUUCCGCAAUGGGCGAAAGCCUGACGGAGCAACGCCGCGUGAGUGAUGAAGGUCUUCGGAUCGUAAAACUCUGUUAUUAGGGAAGAACAAAUGUGUAAGUAACUAUGCACGUCUUGACGGUACCUAAUCAGAAAGCCACGGCUAACUACGUG
RNAcentral lists this ribosomal RNA (497 nucleotides) under uncultured bacterium. Its description in RNAcentral is "partial 16S ribosomal RNA". It matches the Rfam family "Bacterial small subunit ribosomal RNA", at positions 28 to 507 of the family's 1533-position model. The record is from RNAcentral.